GUGAGGGAGCUGGGGCUGUCGGGUAUUAAGCCUGAGGAAGUUCCGCCCACCUCACCGGGGCCGCGGUGUCGUAAGGCACCUCCCGAAAGGGAGGGCAACGGCGCAGAAACGACACGUCCCCUCAAAUAGGAGGAUGAAAGCGGUGAAGGCCUUCGGCAACGAAGGCCGAGCUAACCCGCAGACGAUUUGAGGGGGAACGGUGAAACGGCCGUCCCGCGGGGUGCAAGGCCAAGCUAGGGGCGAUGAAUUCCCGGUGGGAGUCCCGUGGUGGGCCGCUUAGUCGAAUGCCCUAUUUUACAGAAGGCGGGCUAUAGCUCCCUCAC
This 323-nucleotide RNase P RNA is filed under the name Thermococcus sp. MV5. RNAcentral's name for it is "RNase P RNA component". It matches the Rfam family "Archaeal RNase P". Rfam says of the family: Ribonuclease P (RNase P) is a ubiquitous endoribonuclease, found in archaea, bacteria and eukarya as well as chloroplasts and mitochondria. Its best characterised activity is the generation of mature 5'-ends of tRNAs by cleaving the 5'-leader elements of precursor-tRNAs. Lineage: Archaea; Methanobacteriati; Methanobacteriota; Thermococci; Thermococcales; Thermococcaceae. The record is from RNAcentral.